RNAcentral lists this ribosomal RNA (716 nucleotides) under uncultured bacterium. Its description in RNAcentral is "bacterial SSU rRNA". It matches the Rfam family "Bacterial small subunit ribosomal RNA", at positions 94 to 820 of the family's 1533-position model. The record is from RNAcentral.
AGCGGCGAACGGCGUAGUAAGACGUAGGAACGUACCCUCGGGACGGGGAUAGCUAUGGGAAACUGUAGGUAAUACCCGAUAAUCUCUGCGGAGCAAAGGUGUGAUUCCGCCUGAGGAGCGGCUUACGCGAUAUUAGCUAGUUGGUGGGGUAAUGGCCUACCAAGGCAAAGAUGUCUAGGGGGUGUGAGAGCAUGGCCCCCACGACCGGAACUGAGAUACUGUCCGGACACCUACGGGUGGCUGCAGUCGAGAAUCUUCCGCAAUGGACGAAAGUCUGACGGAGCGACGCCGCGUGCGGGAUGAAGGCCCUUGGGUUGUAAACCGCUGUCAGAGGGGAUGAAAUCUUCGGAGGUACUCCUCCGAAGUUGACAAAGCCUCAAAGGAAGCACGGGCUAAGUACGUGCCAGCAGCCGCGGUAACACGUACUGUGCGAACGUUAUUCGGAAUCACUGGGCUUAAAGGGUGCGUAGGCGGCGAUUCAAGUCAGGUGUGAAAUGCCUGAGCUCAACUGAGGCAUUGCGCUUGAAACUGAAUUGCUAGAGUAUCCUAGGGGUGUGCGGAACUGCCAGUGGAACGGUGAAAUGUGUUGAUAUUGGCAGGAACACCGGAGGCGAAAGCGGCACACUGGGGGAUAACUGACGCUGAGGCACGAAAGCCAAGGGAGCGAACGGGAUUAGAUACCCCGGUAGUCUUGGCCGUAAACGAUGAGCACUGGG